GAUGAACGCUGGCGGCGUGCCUAAUACAUGCAAGUCGAGCGAACGGACGAGAAGCUUGCUUCUCUGAUGUUAGCGGCGGACGGGUGAGUAACACGUGGAUAACCUACCUAUAAGACUGGGAUAACUUCGGGAAACCGGAGCUAAUACCGGAUAAUAUUUUGAACCGUAUGGUUCAAAAGUAAAAGACGGUCUUGCUGUCACUUAUAGAUGGAUCCGCGCUGCAUUAGCUAGUUGGUAAGGUAACGGCUUACCAAGGCAACGAUGCAUAGCCGACCUGAGAGGAUGAUCGGCCACACUGGAACUGAGACACGGUCCAGACUCCUACGGGAGGCAGCAGUAGGGAAUCUUCCGCAAUGGGCGAAAGCCUGACGGAGCAACGCCGCGUGAGUGAUGAAGGUCUUCGGAUCGUAAAACUCUGUUAUUAGGGAAGAACAUAUGUGUAAGUAACUGUGCACAUCUUGACGGUACCUAAUCAGAAAGCCACGGCUAACUACGUG
This 497-nucleotide ribosomal RNA is filed under the name uncultured bacterium. RNAcentral describes it as "partial 16S ribosomal RNA". It matches the Rfam family "Bacterial small subunit ribosomal RNA", at positions 28 to 507 of the family's 1533-position model. The record is from RNAcentral.